AGUGAACGCUGGCGGUGGGCCUAACACAUGCAAGUCGAACGGCAGCACAGUAAGAGCUUGCUCUUACGGGUGGCGAGUGGCGGACGGGUGAGGAAUACAUCGGAAUCUACUUUUUCGUGGGGGAUAACGUAGGGAAACUUACGCUAAUACCGCAUACGACCUACGGGUGAAAGCAGGGAUCUUCGGACCUUGCGCGAUUGAAUGAGCCGAUGUCGGAUUAGCUAGUUGGCGGGGUAAAGGCCCACCAAGGCGACGAUCCGUAGCUGGUCUGAGAGGAUGAUCAGCCACACGGGAACGUAGACACGGUCCAGACUCCUACGGGAGGCAGCAGUGGGGAAUAUUGGACAACGGGCGCAAGCCUGAUCCAGCCAUACCGCGUGGGUGAAGAAGGCCUUCGGGUUGUAAAGCCCUUUUGUUGGGAAAGAAAAGCAGCAGGUUAAUACCCCGCUGUUCUGACGGUACCCAAAGAAUAAGCACCGGCUAACUUCGUG
This 491-nucleotide ribosomal RNA is filed under the name uncultured bacterium. RNAcentral describes it as "partial 16S ribosomal RNA". It matches the Rfam family "Bacterial small subunit ribosomal RNA", at positions 29 to 507 of the family's 1533-position model. The record is from RNAcentral.